RNAcentral lists this ribosomal RNA (415 nucleotides) under uncultured microorganism. RNAcentral describes it as "bacterial SSU rRNA". It matches the Rfam family "Archaeal small subunit ribosomal RNA", at positions 330 to 745 of the family's 1478-position model. The record is from RNAcentral.
GCGCACCAGUCGCGAAACCUUCGCAAUGCGGGAAACCGCGACGAGGGGACUCCCAGUGCCUACGCUCAGCGUAGGCUGUUCCCGAGCCUAGAAAGCUCGGGGAGUAAGGGCUGGGUAAGACGGGUGCCAGCCGCCGCGGUAAUACCCGCAGCCCGAGUGGUGGCCACUAUUAUUGGGCCUAAAGCGUCCGUAGCCGGCCCGGUAAAUGCCUGGGUAAAUCGUGAGGCCUAACCUCACGAAUUCCGGGUAGACUGCCGGGCUAGGGGACCGGAGGAGGGAGAGGGGUACUCCAGGGGUAGGGGUGAAAUCCUGUAAUCCCUGGAGGACCACCGGUGGCGAAGGCGCUCUCCUAGGACGGGUCCGACGGUGAGGGACGAAAGCCAGGGGAGCGAACCGGAUUAGAUACCCCUGUAGU